CCGGCGACCGGCGGUACGGGUGCGUAACGCGUAUGUAACCUACCUUUGACAGGGGGAUAACAUCGAGAAAUUGGUACUAAUACCCCAUAACAUCACCGGAGGCAUCUUCGGUGGUUGAAGACUCAGGUGGUCAGAGAUGGACAUGCGUUGUAUUAGCUAGUUGGUGAGGUAACGGCUCACCAAGGCGACGAUACAUAGGGGGACUGAGAGGUCAACCCCCCACAUUGGUACUGAGACACGGACCAAACUCCUACGGGAGGCAGCAG
Molecule: ribosomal RNA, 266 nt
Filed under: uncultured bacterium
Lineage: Bacteria
Description: partial 16S ribosomal RNA
Rfam family: Bacterial small subunit ribosomal RNA
Source: RNAcentral